AGAGCCGCUGCCUUUCAUAACAUUUCACCCUGCCCACUACCCCCCGCAAGCCGGACUCAAGCGUGGAGCCGACCUGUAAACCGUCCAAGAAACCCCUUCCUCUCCCCGGAGAAAGUGGAGUCUGAGCACCGCCCCCCCCCCCCCCCCCGGGCUCCGCACUGCACCUUGCCCAGCAACGACCCAACUUGGCCUCCGGGUCGCCCAAGUACAUCCAUCGGCAUCUGAACCUCCCCACUGCGCCCGAAAGCUACCGGCUAACUAAUAGGCUAGCCGCCUGGAUCCUCUCAUCCAUCCACCUGCAACCGGCAGCCGGGGCUUGGGGGACUCAGGGAUAGGUGCACCGAUCUGCAAGCCCCCUCGCGGCCCUCCCCAAAUCCUCACCCCCAAACUUAGCCAACUCUCGAUGCCAACCUCCCGGCUACUGCCGCAGGACCGAACCUCUCUUCCCUCCUGGCGGCGGCAGCGGCGGCGGCUCGGAGCCGUGCCGAGGCAGGAACUUUACAAGCAUCUUCCUAAGGCAUUGAAAACUUCAUUAUCAUACAAAUAUGUCUCUGGCAUGGCAUUUUCCCCUGGACCACAGAAUGCAGCUAACUGUGUAGCAGAAAUUUUAAUGAAUCGGUGUCUUUCCCACCUGAGUGCUUCUGUGGAAUGCGAGGACAAGUUGGCUCCCGAAACCAGGCAUCUUGGGUAGGAGUCAGCUGAUGGUUCUUUGGCCAGUGGGAUGUUGAAGGAGAUCUGGCAACGAGACAGGACAUCUUCCACCUUCUGCCUGGGAACACUGCCAGCUGCCACUCUGCACCAGCUCCCACGACUUCAUGCAGACUGCCUCAGGCCAGAGACAAGACACUCCACCUGGUGUCCAUGUGGGUGCAGCCCCGACGUACAGGAGAAUGAACACUCUGUUGUGAAUCUUUGUCCAACGGGAGAUGGGUACCUGUGGAUAAAGUCUCUUCUUUCCCAUCUUCCUAUGGAUGAUCUUGAGGGUCUGGUUAUACAGCUUCCUGGACAGUACUGUGGGGAUCAGCCCGAUAAUGCAUUUGUGUGGGCUCUCCUUCCUUC
RNAcentral lists this long non-coding RNA (1059 nucleotides) under Felis catus (domestic cat). RNAcentral describes it as "lncRNA (ENSFCAG00000052782.1)". Lineage: Eukaryota; Metazoa; Chordata; Mammalia; Carnivora; Felidae. The record is from RNAcentral.